Molecule: ribosomal RNA, 449 nt
Filed under: Entrophospora claroidea
Lineage: Eukaryota; Fungi; Glomeromycota; Glomeromycetes; Entrophosporales; Entrophosporaceae
Description: partial 26S ribosomal RNA
Rfam family: Eukaryotic large subunit ribosomal RNA
Source: RNAcentral
UCACCUAAGGCUAAAUAUUGGCGAGAGACCGAUAGCGAACAAGUACCGUGAGGGAAAGAUGAAAAGAACUUUGAAAAGAGAGUUAAACAGUACGUGAAAUUGUUGAAAGGGAAACGAUUGAAGUCAGUCGUGCUGGCGCGAAAUCAACCCUCUCGUUGAGAGGUCACAUGGCGUGGCGAGCCUCAAAACCGUCACGAAGCGUGAACUCUUGGCGAAAAGGAGCACUUUCGUGUCCGCUGGUUAACAUCAAUUUCGAACGUCAUAAAAAGGCUGGAGGGAUGUGGCUCCUUCGGGAGUGUUAUAACCUUUAGCGGAAUGUGGUGGUCGGGAUUGAGGAUUGCAACGAAUACCUUUAGGGCUGUUCCACCUGGCUUCUCUUUGGUAUCCUGGUGACGACAGCUUGCUGACGUUGUUAGGAUUCGCCUUUGAACAGGCUAGAGUGUGAGCAA